GACGAACGCUGGCGGCGUGCUUAACACAUGCAAGUCGAACGGAAAGGCCCUGCUUUUGUGGGGUGCUCGAGUGGCGAACGGGUGAGUAACACGUGAGUAACCUGCCCUUGACUUUGGGAUAACUUCAGGAAACUGGGGCUAAUACCGGAUAGGAGCUCCUGCUGCAUGGUGGGGGUUGGAAAGUUUCGGCGGUUGGGGAUGGACUCGCGGCUUAUCAGCUUGUUGGUGGGGUAGUGGCUUACCAAGGCUUUGACGGGUAGCCGGCCUGAGAGGGUGACCGGCCACAUUGGGACUGAGAUACGGCCCAGACUCCUACGGGAGGCAGCAGUGGGGAAUAUUGUACAAUGGGCGGAAGCCUGAUGCAGCAACGCCGCGUGCGGGAUGACGGCCUUCGGGUUGUAAACCGCUUUCGCCUGUGACGAAGCGUGAGUGACGGUAUGGGUAAAGAAGCACCGGCUAACUACGUG
RNAcentral lists this ribosomal RNA (467 nucleotides) under uncultured bacterium. Its description in RNAcentral is "partial 16S ribosomal RNA". It matches the Rfam family "Bacterial small subunit ribosomal RNA", at positions 28 to 507 of the family's 1533-position model. The record is from RNAcentral.